GACGAACGCUGGCGGCGUGCUUAACACAUGCAAGUCGAACGGAAAGGCCCUGCUUUUGUGGGGUGCUCGAGUGGCGAACGGGUGAGUAACACGUGAGUAACCUGCCCUUGACUUUGGGGUAACUUCAGGAAACUGGGGCUAAUACCGGAUAGGAGCUCCUGCUGCAUGGUGGGGGUUGGAAAGUUUCGGCGGUUGGGGAUGGACUCGCGGCUUAUCAGCUUGUUGGUGGGGUAGUGGCUUACCAAGGCUUUGACGGGUAGCCGGCCUGAGAGGGUGACCGGCCACAUUGGGACUGAGAUACGGCCCAGACUCCUACGGGAGGCAGCAGUGGGGAAUAUUGCACAAUGGGCGGAAGCCUGAUGCAGCAACGCCGCGUGCGGGAUGACGGCCAUCGGGUUGUAAACCGCUUUCGCCUGUGACGAAGCGUGAGUGACGGUAAUGGGUAAAGAAGCACCGGCUAACUACGUG
This 468-nucleotide ribosomal RNA is filed under the name uncultured bacterium. RNAcentral describes it as "partial 16S ribosomal RNA". It matches the Rfam family "Bacterial small subunit ribosomal RNA", at positions 28 to 507 of the family's 1533-position model. The record is from RNAcentral.